RNAcentral lists this ribosomal RNA (363 nucleotides) under uncultured bacterium. RNAcentral describes it as "bacterial SSU rRNA". It matches the Rfam family "Bacterial small subunit ribosomal RNA", at positions 8 to 354 of the family's 1533-position model. The record is from RNAcentral.
AGAGUUUGAUCAUGGCUCAGGAUGAACGCUGGCGGCGUGCCUAACACAUGCAAGUCGAACGAAGCAUUUUAGAUGAAGUUUUCGGAUGGAUUCUGAGAUGACUGAGUGGCGGACGGGUGAGUAACACGUGGAUAACCUGCCUCACACUGGGGGACAACAGUUAGAAAUGACUGCUAAUACCGCAUAAGCGCACAGUACCGCAUGGUACGGUGUGAAAAACUCCGGUGGUGUGAGAUGGAUCCGCGUCUGAUUAGCCAGUUGGCGGGGUAUCGGACCACCAAAGCGACGAUCAGUAGCCGACCUGAGAGGGUGACCGGCCACAUUGGGACUGAGACACGGCCAUACUCCUACGGGACGCAGUAG